UGCUCGGAGGUUGGGUUAUACUCCGAGGUCGCCCCAGCCGAAAUUUUUAAUGCAGGUUUGGUAGGGUACCACGGCCGUUAAACAUAUGUCACUGGGCAGGCGGUGCCUCUAAUACUGGUAAUGCUAGAGGUGAUGUUUUUGGUAAACAGGCGGGGUAAGAUUUGCCGAGUUCCUUUUACUUUUUUUAACCUUUCCUUGUGGGCAUGCCUGUGUUGGGUUAACAGUAGGAGUAAUACAGUUUCAUUUUUUUACAUAUGGCUUGCUAAUUAUCCCAGCACCAUUUGUUGAAUAGGGUGUCCUUUACCCACUUUAUGUUUUUGUUUACUUUGUCAAAGAUCAGUUGGCUGUAA
This 350-nucleotide long non-coding RNA is filed under the name Homo sapiens (human). RNAcentral describes it as "HSALNT0334859". Lineage: Eukaryota; Metazoa; Chordata; Mammalia; Primates; Hominidae. The record is from RNAcentral.